Long non-coding RNA from Chenopodium quinoa (quinoa), 840 nucleotides. RefSeq lists it as uncharacterized. The record is from RefSeq and is a predicted model, not a curated record. Lineage: Eukaryota; Viridiplantae; Streptophyta; Magnoliopsida; Caryophyllales; Amaranthaceae. The transcript has 2 exons.
AUAUUUACACAAAUUUUUUAAAAAAAACCGAUUUACAUUAGUGUACUGUGUGGCGGGUUGAAUGAGGAAAGUAAUUAACUUUCCUUGUUUUUGCUCGCACGUGUCAAUGUUAUUUACAGUAUUUGGUUUCUCUCUCUUCCUAAUUUUACUUCUCUCUCCUUUGCUCAUUCUCUCUUCCGCCAUAUUUUUUGCUCCCGUUUCCGCCAUUGUUACAAGCUUGUAGCUUUCUUCCAUCGAUUUCUAGGGGAUUUGGUUGAAGAGAAAUGUUGGACACUUUGGGAGAAGAUCAAUGAAAACCUUUGUGUUGCAAGACCUGUCUUAACAAUUGCUAUGGAUGCGGGCCUUAGUAAGGCUAUUCUUGAGAUUGGUAACAUUUAACUUUUUUCUUAUUUGAAGCAUGUGAAACAGGAAGUUAUUAUCAGUGAUUUUGUUAAGCUUACUAGUCUUAACAAUCUUAUCUCUUUCUCUCAUGUAAGUAGAUGUGGUAAUGUUGCUGGUCAUAAACUUGCCCAAGCUAGUGGAGAUGAGAGUAUGGGUUGAGGAGGCUCCACGUUGUGUAAUGGCUGUUGUGAUGCUUGAUUCUGCUAUCAUCCCUUAAUAAAUUUUGCUACUGUAACUUUCAAAUUUCAUCCUUCUUUUUUUAUAACACUUAUUCAAUGGUUUUAGGGAUCUCGAGGCCUCAAGAACUUUUAGAGCAAGUAAACUGAUAUUAUAAUAGUCAAUAUGCAACUAUGAUAAGAGCUUGAGUCAUUUAUAGAUGAUGAUUUGGAUUGGCACAAUGUACUUUUGAUGACACCAGAGUUAUUGAUGAAUUGAAGUUUCUCUCUAUCCUUCUUUUAA